UAAAACACGAAAUCGCUCGCAAGAAAAAUGUCAAAACUGCUGGAAUUAAAAUCAUUUUUGCCGGUCGAGAAUUACCCGAUGAAUUAACACUCGGGAAUGCAGAGAUGAACCACAGCGUCAUUCAUGCUGUUCAGAAAUCUGGUCAGAUCUCAGUUGAUGCAACUUACAAUGCGAAUGAUGGUUUGACGAAAGUGAAACUGACACAGGAUGACGAAGAUGAAGAUGGUGAAUCUGAACAAUCAGGAAUUUUAUUUCAAAUGUGGGGAACAUCAUGGUAGAGAUGAACAGGCCCUAUUAUCAAUGUUGAAAUCUAACAUCAGAAAUAUUCCCUGCAUCACAUGCUCUAAAAUAUCGUAAGUUUACCCUUUCAUUUUAUGUCUCCUCCCAGAAAUAUUUAUCCUUCUGGGAAAGUUGAAUUUUUUAAUCCAAACCACAGUUAAUAGAAACUAAUAACUCUGAUCCAACAUGGUCAAUAUUUAAUCAAUUUUUUUCACUCAUCCAC
Molecule: long non-coding RNA, 502 nt
Filed under: Dendronephthya gigantea
Lineage: Eukaryota; Metazoa; Cnidaria; Anthozoa; Malacalcyonacea; Nephtheidae
Description: uncharacterized LOC114541866, transcript variant X1
Source: RNAcentral